Molecule: ribosomal RNA, 310 nt
Filed under: uncultured bacterium
Lineage: Bacteria
Description: bacterial SSU rRNA
Rfam family: Bacterial small subunit ribosomal RNA
Source: RNAcentral
GACGGUACCGUAAGAAUAAGCACCGGCUAACUACGUGCCAGCAGCCGCGGUAAUACGUAGGGUGCAAGCGUUAUCGGAAUUACUGGGCGUAAAGCGUGCGCGGGCGGUUUUAUAAGACAGAUGUGAAAUCCCCGGGCUCAACCUGGGAACUGCUUUAGAGACUGCAAAGCUAGAGUGUGGCAGAGGGGGGUGGAAUUCCGCGUGUAGCGGUGAAAUGCGUAGAUAUGGGGAGGAACACCGAGGGCGAAGGCAGUCCCCUGGGCCAACACUGACGCUCAUGCACGAAAGCGUGGGGAGCAAACAGGAUUAG